GGAAACUACUAGGGGCGCCAUGUUGCUGAGAUAAGGAACGCUUCCUUUGUCCCUUUGAACCUGAUCUGGCUAAUACCAGCGCAGGAAAGUAGUGAGGAAAUUAU
The sequence is a regulatory RNA element, 104 nucleotides long. It matches the Rfam family "TPP riboswitch aptamer (THI element)". Rfam says of the family: Vitamin B(1) in its active form thiamin pyrophosphate (TPP) is an essential coenzyme that is synthesised by coupling of pyrimidine and thiazole moieties in bacteria. The record is from Rfam.